Long non-coding RNA from Esox lucius (northern pike), 4890 nucleotides. NCBI's taxonomy places the organism in Eukaryota, Metazoa, Chordata, Actinopteri, Esociformes, Esocidae. The record is from Ensembl.
UGCGCAUUAAACGACACAAAAGGCUGGAUGCAUUAAAUACUGCAAAAAUGUUUUAUUUAUUACAAAUGCUCAAAAAUGUCCUCCCUGUAGACCAGCCUCUCUUGCUUGUCAACUUUUCUUAAUAAUAUCUUACAAUACUUUCUUAACAUUCCCUAAUACCAAUGUAAGUUCUGCCCCUCAAUUAACCAUUCUCUAAAACAGGUCUAAAAUACUUCUCCAAGACUCAUUAAUUAUUAGCUAAUGAUACAAUAUAUAUUCAAUGCACAGUAUUUUACUGUGUGUUGCAUAGAGGGUUGAAGAGGGGGUAGGAAUUAUGGUUUUGCUGGAUGUAGCACACAGUGCCCAAUGAUUUCACAUUAUAUUUGUAAAUUUACAUACCAUCCUGUGUAUUUUGUACAAUACAUUCACUGUGACAGAAUGGUAAUUCCUCAAUAAGGUAAAAAGUAUCCCUUUUAUAUUACAGAGGGGUGAGGAAAUUAGUGUUGUUGGAUUUAUAACUCAAUCCCUUUCGAAAACUAAUGAGCAGCAGCAAAUUAACCACAAUUUCAUAAAAAUAUGCUUUUUAUUGUAGAUAUGUUCAUUAAUUUACUUAAGCUCUAACCAUUUCUCAAUGUGCUCCAUUUACCUUAGUAACCUGUUUUGUUUAUAUUUUUCCCAUGUAGUUAUUAAAGAUUUCCCAAAUAGACUAUGCAUGUCUGCAAAAAAUUAUGACUUUAUUUCAGUGUUUCACUGCAGACUUAUUUUGAAGGCGAAUAGUAGUUAUUGAGUUGACAGUUAGCAAGCUCGCUAGCUUCUUACUUUUAAUUGUCUCUCCGAUGAUUGCUACCUGCAUUAUAUCUAUGUUACAGCUACUUACUGACAGUUCCAGGCUUACAUGCGUAUGCACAGACAGCCAGUUUAGUUUCUUCGCCUUCACACGUUAGCUUGAUACUCCGAACGUCGGAUGCAGGAUGUGGUUGCUUGGCUCUGAUGCAUUUGUAAUGGUAAACUGUGCGCAUCUUGGUUUUAAAAAAAAAUAUUGGGCACAGAAUAGCGAAUGGACUUCUCCCUCCAGCUUAUCUAAUGAGUAUAAAUAUAUUUAUUUCUCCACAAUCGCUGUUCUAUAUGUUGAAAGAAGGUCUUGAAAUGUUGUAGGUUCUAAAUUUGAGAAAAGGCCUAAGAGGAUUUAAAUGCUGUAUGUUGACAAAACUGUUGAACAUGCUUUAAUGAUGUGAUAUUCAAGGGUUGUCUUCCUGUGUUUUGUUUUGAUCUGAAGCUGAAGAAAAACAGUAAUGUCAAAACUCUGGCCCUAGACUGCAAUGACGGUAAGGCGCGCGCACACGGACCACACACACGCACACACAAAAAGACAACACGCAUGGACGGACAGACAGUGAUCAUGAAUAGUGGUGUUUGUAUAAUGUGAAUGUUUGCUGUUAUAGUGGUGGUGACACAGGAGUUAGAACACUACUAUAGAAUUAGAUAUAUGCCAAAAUGUUAAGCAUACUUAUUGUUGGGGAAAAGAAAAUCCAUACAUAAAUUGGCAUGAUCAUAAGAAAUGUCAUAUGUAAAACAUGAAACAUAACCGUGAAAUUAGAUCUGUGAACUUACAAACACUGUUACAGUGACUAAUAUGUUUUGCUAGUACCAUAUCUAGUUUUUCAAUUCUAAAGUACAACAUCACAAUCUGGAGUUUUGGCAGUUUACACAUCUACAUACAUACAUCUUCUUCCGCUUCAUCCGGGGCCGGGUCGCGGGGGCAGCAGUCUAAGCAGAGAUGCCCAGACUUCCCUCUCCCUAGACACUUCCUCCAGCUCUUCCAGGGGGGGACCAAGGCGUUCCCAGGCCAGCCAGGAGACAUAGUCCCUCCAGCGUGUCCUAGGUCUUCCCCGGGGUCUCCUCCCGGUGGGACGGGCCCGGGAACACCUUCCCAGGAUGCCCAAGCCACCUCAGCUGACCCAUCUCGAUGUGGAGGAGCAGCGGCUCUACUCUGAGCUCCUCCCGGUUGACCGAGCUUCUCACCCCAUCUCUAAGGGAUCGCCCUACGGAGAAAGCUAAUUUCGGCCGCCUGUAUCCGGGAUCUUGUCCUUUCGGUCAUGACCCAAAGCUCAUGACCAUAGGUGAGAGUAGGAACGUAGAUUGACCGGUAAGUCGAGAGCUUCGCCUUGCGGCGAAGCUCUUCACCACGACAGGCAGAUACAUCGACCUCAUUACUGCAGAAGCUGCACCGAUCCGUCUGUCUAUCUCCCGUUCCAUCCUUCCCUCACUCGUGAACAAGACCCCUAGAUACUUAAACUCCUCCACUUGAGGCAGGCACUCUCCACCAACCUGAAGUGGGCAAGCCACCCUUUUCCGACUGAGGACCAUGGCCUCGGAUUUGGAGGUACUGAUUCUCAUCAUCACCGCUUCACACUCGGCUGCAAACCAUCCCAGUGCAUGCUGAAGGUCCUGGUUUGAAGGGGCCAACACGACAACAUCAUUCUCAAAGAGCAGAGACGAAAUUGUGUGGUCCCCAAACCUGACACCCUCCGGCCCCUGGCUGUGCCUAGAAAUUCUGUCCCUAAAAAUUAUGAACAGAACCGGCGACAAAUGGCAGCCCUGUUGGGGUCUAACAUGCACUGGUAACAAGUCUGACUUACUGCCAGCAAUGCGGAACAAGCUCCUGCUUCGGUCGUACAGGGACCUGACAACCCUUAGCAAAGGACCCAGGACCCCAUAUUCCCGAAGCACCCUCCACAGGAUGCCGCAAGGGACACAGUCGAAUGCCUACUCCAAAUCCACAAAACACAUGUGGACUGGUUGGGCAAACUCCCAUGAACCCUCCAACACCCCGUAGAGGGUAUAGAGCUGGUCCAGUGUUCCACGGCCCGGACGAAAACCUCCACGGCCCGGACGAAAACCCAAACUUUUUUUAGAUGGUAGUUUCAUCUAAAAAAUUUUACCCAAACUUUCCGUGAGGUGAUAAUACAGUACUACAAGCAUAGGCAGUGUGAACAACCUGAUAUCGGGGAUACCGGAAAUGGGUAUCCUGCAAGAUUUCCAUUUAAGUCCCUUCUCUCUUCAUGCAUGCAUGCAUGCAUAGUGCAAACUGAUUUUCAUGUGCACAAUCCACGUGCGUAACUGUUCUUUAUUUGUGCAUAUGUUUCUGUGUCCUUGUCAUUUUCACGCAAGCAUUUUACUUAAUGCCUAAACACAUGAUGGCCUACUGGUGUAAUGUUAUGCAGUCUUAAAAAACAGCUAUGAACUCAGGAAUCGCAGAAAAUUUAGAAUACAACGUGUAAAAAGUCAUAAAUGUGUAUUUAAAUUUUUUUACCCCGAUCAUACCAAUUGACAAAUGUAUUUUCUUACGAUCCCAACAACAAGUAUGCUUAACCUUUUGGCAGAUAUGUAACUCCAUACACUACAGAAUAAAACUGGAUUGAUCAAACGUGUGUGUGUGUGUGUGUGUGUGUACAGUGUGUUCUCCCGCAGCACCCGCUGGGAGAUUCCCUGCUCUGUGGCGCUACCUGCAGCAGUCCAACAGACAGCCUGUCAUUGGUGUUGGUAUGUUGACAGAGUUGACCGAACGAGAUGGUGACUACGUCCUGUGUGGAUGCUGUUCUCACAAGAUGUUUCCAUCCUCUGUCACCUCACACGUCAUCUCUUCCAGACACCGCUACUACUACAUAAGAAUGGCACAUCCUGAGCUGGCUGUUAAUUGGCCAGAAAGUCCAGCGCUGAUUGUGUAUAAUGGGCCUCUUCAAAGAGAGCUGAGAGUGCAAGCUAAAGAACUGGAGGGUCAGGAAGGACCUGAACAUCCCCAGGUGGUGAAAGAAACAUCUGCUACAUCGGGAGGUGGACCCACAACCUGCCCAGAAGAGGUUGUCGAACAGAUCCAGAUUCACUCCGCUCCUGUCUCUGUGGAAGAGGAACCGGUUAACUCAGAGCCAUCACAGCCCCUCGGAGAAAAGAAAAAGACGAGGAAUAGGGGCAAUCCUGUGGUUGGAGUGAACUUCCUGGUCCGGGUGUCUCACAGAAAUAGGAAACAAUACUACUGUCAGCUGUGCUCCGUUAGGGUGAAGCAUCCCGUUAUUGAUCACAUGACCAGCCUCCGCCAUCGACACAGCUAUGUGAAAUUGAAGUACCCCAGUUGGACCUCCGACUCAGAGGCAAAGCUGUUCAAGAUGGCUUUUCACCUGGAGAAGGUGGAUCGAAGCGCUGGACUGGGCAUGCAGAAAGUAGAAGUGGAUGCUGUUGAAUUCAAGGAUCUAAGGUCUUGCCCUGUGGAGGAAGCUCUCAGUAAACUGCAGGCCAUUAUCAUACAGCAACAAGAGCCAGGUGAUCUGAAGAUGCAUCCCUCAACCAAUCAGAACCCAGAAGAUCUGAGACAGACUGCUCCCUCAUUGAGACCUGUCAGUGCCCAAGGGCCAUCUAACGGAGACCAGGAACACCUACAAGUACCUGCCUCCUCUCUCCAGGAUCAGCCGUCCUUUGGCUCCACAUCUGUCCCCCUCUCAUCCUCCAGUCCUCCUUGCCUCUCUCCCUCAAACUCCUUCUCUGCCUCUCUCCCCGCAGUGUCCCUAUCUGCCUCAACCUCCCUUUCUUCCUUUGUUCCAUCCUACACUCCCGUUUUGUCCACUGAGAAGACGACUGACCCCUCAUCAGAUGUUGUCUCUGUCCCCGAUCCUGUCUGUGAUCCUGUCUCUGUCCCUUCACCCCUCUCCGCUCUAAAGAACCCAACACAUCUGAAGGACUGCGAGAGUCCAGAGUGGUGGGAGAGGAGGAGCCCAGAAAACAGAGAGACACUAAUGCUUCUGGAACUCCCAGACAAACAGACGGAGUACGCGGCGGGAGACCGGCUGACGGAGUACGCGGCGGGAGACCGGCUGACGGAGUACGCGGCGGGAGACCGGCUGACGGAGUACGCGGCGG